Molecule: long non-coding RNA, 470 nt
Organism: Raphanus sativus (radish)
Lineage: Eukaryota; Viridiplantae; Streptophyta; Magnoliopsida; Brassicales; Brassicaceae
Exons: 3
Source: RefSeq, a predicted model, not a curated record
UAUUGGUGAUGAUGCUAAGGCUGUUUUGGUACGAUCCUCUCCUAGUCUCCUACCACGAAUCAGGGAAUCAUACAGAAGCAUGUAAUCCACUCAAAGCAAUUUUUUUUAACGAGAGAGAAUAAAGCUGUUUACCCACAGGAGCGUUCUCGCAUUCAAAAGGUUUCUCUCUAUGAUGAGCAAGACAGUGAUAUCCCAUUAGUCUUCACUUGGAAAUUCUAACAAAAGUGAUUUAUUCCAGUUUGGUGUCAUUGCAACAUUCAUGCGUUUGAAUUGACUGAGAGAGAAAACUUCAUGAUUCUUGGUUGUGAUGGAUUGUGGGAAUUUUCAGGUCUUUGGACCAAGUGAUGCUGUUGGAUUUGUUCAGAAACUCUUGAAGGACGGGUUGCCCACAAGCACAAUCAGUCGUCGCCUUGUAAACGAAGUUGUGAAGGAACGUUGUUGCAAAGACAAUUGCAAAAUAAAAGCCAGCG